UGGGGAAUUUUGGACAAUGGGCGAAAGCCUGAUCCAGCAAUGCCGCGUGUGUGAAGAAGGCCUUCGGGUUGUAAAGCACUUUUGUCCGGAAAGAAAUGGCUCUGGUUAAUACCUGGGGUCGAUGACGGUACCGGAAGAAUAAGGACCGGCUAACUACGUGCCAGCAGCCGCGGUAAUACGUAGGGUCCAAGCGUUAAUCGGAAUUACUGGGCGUAAAGCGUGCGCAGGCGGUUGUGCAAGACCGAUGUGAAAUCCCCGAGCUUAACUUGGGAAUUGCAUUGGUGACUGCACGGCUAGAGUGUGUCAGAGGGGGGUAGAAUUCCACGUGUAGCAGUGAAAUGCGUAGAGAUGUGGAGGAAUACCGAUGGCGAAGGCAGCCCCCUGGGAUAACACUGACGCUCAUGCACGAAAGCGUGGGGAGCAAACAGGAUUAGAUACCCUGGUAGUCCACGCCCUAAACGAUGUGCAACUAGGUUGUUGGGGGAUUCAUUUCCUUAGUAACGUAG
This 506-nucleotide ribosomal RNA is filed under the name uncultured bacterium. Its description in RNAcentral is "partial 16S ribosomal RNA". It matches the Rfam family "Bacterial small subunit ribosomal RNA", at positions 355 to 851 of the family's 1533-position model. The record is from RNAcentral.